UACGGAGGAUGCAAGCGUUAUCCGGAAUGAUUGGGCGUAAAGCGUCCGCAGGUGGCUAUGUAAGUCUGCUGUUAAAGAGUGAGGCUCAACCUCAUAAGAGCAGUGGAAACUACAUAGCUAGAGUGCGUUCGGGGCAGAGGGAAUUCCUGGUGUAGCGGUGAAAUGCGUAGAUAUCAGGAAGAACACCGGUGGCGAAAGCGCUCUGCUAGGCCGCAACUGACACUGAGGGACGAAAGUGUGGGGAGCGAACAGG
This 253-nucleotide ribosomal RNA is filed under the name uncultured bacterium. RNAcentral describes it as "partial 16S ribosomal RNA". It matches the Rfam family "Bacterial small subunit ribosomal RNA", at positions 524 to 776 of the family's 1533-position model. The record is from RNAcentral.